Molecule: ribosomal RNA, 518 nt
Filed under: uncultured bacterium
Lineage: Bacteria
Description: partial 16S ribosomal RNA
Rfam family: Bacterial small subunit ribosomal RNA
Source: RNAcentral
GACGAACGCUGGCGGCGUGCUUAACACAUGCAAGUCGAACGGAGGAUUUAUUUCGGUAAAUCCUUAGUGGCGAACGGGUGAGUAACGCGUGGGCAAUCUGCCCUUCAGAUGGGGACAACAUCCCGAAAGGGGUGCUAAUACCGAAUACGAUCACGCUGCCGCAUGGCGGUGUGAUGAAAGAUGGCCUCUAUUUAUAAGCUAUCGCUGAAGGAUGAGCCUGGGUCUGAUUAGCUCGUUGGUGGGGUAACGGCCUACCAAGGCGAUGAUCAGUAGCCGGUCUGAGAGGAUGAACGGCCACAUUGGGACUGAGACACGGCCCAAACUCCUACGGGAGGCAGCAGUGGGGAAUAUUCCGCAAUGGACGAAAGUCUGACGGAGCAACGCCGCGUGAGUGAUGAAGGUUUUCGGACUGUAAAGCUCUGUUGUUUAGGACGAAAGUGCCUGUUGCGAACAGUUACAGGUAUUGACGGUACUGAACGAGGAAGCCACGGCUAACUACGUGCCAGCCGCCGCCGUAA